Molecule: ribosomal RNA, 306 nt
Filed under: uncultured bacterium
Lineage: Bacteria
Description: partial 16S ribosomal RNA
Rfam family: Bacterial small subunit ribosomal RNA
Source: RNAcentral
GACAGCAGUCGCCACGGGAAUACGUAGGGUGCGAGCGUUGUCCGGAAUUACUGGGCGUAAAGAGCUCGUAGGUGGUCUGUCGCGUCAUUUGUGAAAGCCCGGGGCUUAACUCCGGGUUGGCAGGUGAUACGGGCAUGACUGGAGUACUGUAGGGGAGACUGGAAUUCCUGGUGUAGCGGUGAAAUGCGCAGAUAUCAGGAGGAACACCGGUGGCGAAGGCGGGUCUCUGGGCAGUAACUGACGCUGAGGAGCGAAAGCAUGGGUAGCGAACAGGAUUAGAUACCCCUGUAGUCCCUGUCUCUUAUA